UAGGCGGACGGGUGAGUAACGCGUGGAAAACCUGCCGUAUACUGGGGGAUAACGACUUAGAAAUAGGUGCUAAUACCGCAUAAGCGCACAGCUUCGCAUGAAGCGGUGUGAAAAACUCUGGUGGUAUACGAUGGUUCCGCGUCUGAUUAGCUAGUUGGUGGGGUAAUGGCCUACCAAGGCAACGAUCAGUAGCCGGCCUGAGAGGGUGAACGGCCCACAUUGGGACUGAGACACGGCCCAAACUCCUACGGGAGGCAGCAG
Molecule: ribosomal RNA, 261 nt
Filed under: uncultured bacterium
Lineage: Bacteria
Description: partial 16S ribosomal RNA
Rfam family: Bacterial small subunit ribosomal RNA
Source: RNAcentral